This 425-nucleotide ribosomal RNA is filed under the name uncultured bacterium. RNAcentral's name for it is "partial 16S ribosomal RNA". It matches the Rfam family "Bacterial small subunit ribosomal RNA", at positions 354 to 796 of the family's 1533-position model. The record is from RNAcentral.
GUGGGGAAUAUUGGGCAAUGGGCGAAAGCCUGACCCAGCAACGCCGCGUGAAGGAAGAAGGUCUUCGGAUCGUAAACUUCUAUCCUUGGUGAAGAUAAUGACGGUAGCCGAGAAGGAAGCCCCGGCUAACUACGUGCCAGCAGCCGCGGUAAUACGUAGGGGGCAAGCGUUGUCCGGAAUGAUUGGGCGUAAAGGGCGCGUAGGCGGCCUGGUAAGUCUGGAGUGAAAGUCCUGCUUUUAAGGUGGGAAUUGCUUUGGAUACUGUCGGGCUUGAGUGCAGGAGAGGUAAGUGGAAUUCCCGGUGUAGCGGUGAAAUGCGUAGAGAUCGGGAGGAACACCAGUGGCGAAGGCGGCUUACUGGACUGUAACUGACGCUGAGGCACGAAAGUGUGGGGAGCAAACAGGAUUAGAAACCCCAGUAGUCC